GGCUCAGCUUGGUAGAGCACCUGGUUUGGGACCAGGGGGUCGCAGGUUCAAAUCCUGUC
RNAcentral lists this transfer RNA (59 nucleotides) under Bacillus anthracis (anthrax bacterium). RNAcentral describes it as "tRNA-Pro". It matches the Rfam family "tRNA", at positions 9 to 63 of the family's 71-position model. From Rfam's summary of the family: Transfer RNA (tRNA) molecules are approximately 80 nucleotides in length. Their secondary structure includes four short double-helical elements and three loops (D, anti-codon, and T loops). The record is from RNAcentral. RNAcentral also lists the same sequence under 6 other names. Lineage: Bacteria; Bacillati; Bacillota; Bacilli; Caryophanales; Bacillaceae.